GGUUUACAUAUACUAAUCUAUUUUGUUAUAAUAGAAAUUGAUAAGGAUUUUUUGAUUGAAAAAAUCAAUACUGAUUAGUUCUGUCUCAAUUUGUAUUUUAUAAUGUCAUUAGGAAAAUACAAUUUGGAGAUUCAAAUCCCAAAAUUGCUCAUGAAUUUGAAGUAAGCAGUCAAUAGUUAAUUCUUUAAAUUUGUCCUAAAUUUUAGCUGAAAAUCCACAUUUUAUUUCUCAAUAGAAAAAAGAGAUAUUUUUUAGCAUUGUGGAUUUUCAGAUACUAUACAAUCAAUCGAAGGGAUGGAUCAAAUCCAAUAAAAGAUAAAGGAGGUUUCUUAUAGGAAAAUGAUUCAGAAAAAUAGGAAUCAAAAUGCAAGUACAAUAAAAAUUCCGUAAUCCAAGAAAAUUAUCAUAUCCAUUUUGUAUCAUUUUGGCGGCAUGGCCGAGUGGUAAGGCGAAGGACUGCAAAUCUUUUUUCCCCAGUUCAAAUCUGGGUGUCGCCUAAUCAACAAAAAGCUCUAAAUCUUUUUUUGUCUUCCGUUCUGUUAAUACUUGUUUGAUUCUAGUCUAAGGGUUUUCUAAAAGAUUGUAAAUCCUUGCAUCUAGGAUUCAAGGAAAUAUUCUAAUCUAAUGAUAGAGG
RNAcentral lists this transfer RNA (634 nucleotides) under Olea europaea subsp. europaea. The stretch from base 427 to 497 matches the Rfam family "tRNA". Lineage: Eukaryota; Viridiplantae; Streptophyta; Magnoliopsida; Lamiales; Oleaceae. The record is from RNAcentral.